CUUCCUUCCUUCCUUCCUUCCUUCCUUCCUUCCUUCCUUCCUUCCCCCUUUCCUUUCCUUUCUUUCUUUUUUUAAGCUGCCAGAGGCUCCAGACAGAGGCUUCCAUUUUGACCCCUCCCCCAUCGUAGUCUCAGUGUAGUUUUCAGCUCACUUCUCCCAGACUUCUGCACGUGUAUGUUUGUGUGUGUGUGUCCCUUGCUGUGCUGUGACAUUGGAGAGGACAAGAUUGAGAGAAAUAAACUGGGAUGAGAGCUUCUUGCAGCCUUCCAUGGAGCUGGGGGCUGAGAAAAAAAAAAGCAUUGCAAAAAAAACAGCUUUUGUUAGCUUGCAGCCUACUAUCAACAGAAGUUGAAGGCAUGGGGCUGCAAGGAGUGAGACAGCUCCCUCUGCCCCCUCCUGCAUGUACACACACACACACACACUCAAACAAACUCGGCAGCAGAGACAAUGGCCAUUUUUGGCAAGACCAAAGCUGUGACAACUGGGACAUGAAGAAUAUGUACUGGAGAGAGUUGUGGGCAGUGGAUUGAAACAGGGACGACUGUUUCCACAACAUCUUCACACCUGUGGAUUGGCUCAUUCCACAUCAAACUGAGAGGAGGAGUUUCUAACCAUUUUAUCCUAACGGAAUUGCCUGGGCGGAACUCAGACUCUGCUUUGCUUUUGACUUGCAAUCACUCCCUUUCAAUAAAAGGUUCCUUUUGAAA
Molecule: long non-coding RNA, 707 nt
Organism: Pantherophis guttatus
Lineage: Eukaryota; Metazoa; Chordata; Lepidosauria; Squamata; Colubridae
Source: RefSeq, a predicted model, not a curated record